CUGGCGGCGUGCCUAACACAUGCAAGUCGAACGGGGAUUUGUUUCGGCAGAAUCCUAGUGGCGAACGGGUGAGUAACGCGUAGGCAACCUGCCCUCCGGCCGGGGACAACACUCCGAAAGGGGUGCUAAUACCGGAUACGAAGUCUGUGCCGCAUGGUACGGAUUUGAAAGAUGGCCUCUAUUUAUAAGCUAUCGCCGGGGGAUGGGCCUGCGUCCGAUUAGCUGGUUGGUGGGGUAACGGCCUACCAAGGCGACGAUCGGUAGCCGGUCUGAGAGGAUGAACGGCCACAUUGGGACUGAGACACGGCCCAGACUCCUACGGGAGGCAGCAGUGGGGAAUCUUCCGCAAUGGGCGCAAGCCUGACGGAGCAACGCCGCGUGAGUGAGGAAGUUCUUCGGAACGUAAAGCUCUGUUGUUCCUGACGAACCUCCCUUCUAUCAACAACGGAAGGGACUGACGGUAGGGAACGAGGAAGCCACGGCUAACUACGUGCCAGCCGCGGC
This 504-nucleotide ribosomal RNA is filed under the name uncultured bacterium. RNAcentral's name for it is "bacterial SSU rRNA". It matches the Rfam family "Bacterial small subunit ribosomal RNA", at positions 36 to 518 of the family's 1533-position model. The record is from RNAcentral.